This 492-nucleotide ribosomal RNA is filed under the name uncultured bacterium. RNAcentral describes it as "partial 16S ribosomal RNA". It matches the Rfam family "Bacterial small subunit ribosomal RNA", at positions 29 to 506 of the family's 1533-position model. The record is from RNAcentral.
AGUGAACGCUGGCGGUAGGCCUAACACAUGCAAGUCGAACGGCAGCACAGUAAGAGCUUGCUCUUACGGGUGGCGAGUGGCGGACGGGUGAGGAAUACAUCGGAAUCUACUUUUUCGUGGGGGAUAACGUAGGGAAACUUACGCUAAUACCGCAUACGACCUACGGGUGAAAGCAGGGGAUCUUCGGACCUUGCGCGAUUGAAUGAGCCGAUGUCGGAUUAGCUAGUUGGCGGGGUAAAGGCCCACCAAGGCGACGAUCCGUAGCUGGUCUGAGAGGAUGGACCAGCAAAACUGGAAUGGAGAACGGUCCCAGAUCCUUAGGGGAGGCAGAGGUGGGAAUAAUGGGAAAAGGGGCGAAAGCUUGUUCAAGCAAAACGGGGUGGGUGAAGAGGGCUUCCGGGUUGUAAAGCCUUUUUGUGGGGAAAAAAAAGAAGCAGGUUAAUACCCCGCUGUUCUGACGGUACCAAAAGAAUAAGCACCGGCUAACUUCGU